This 1165-nucleotide long non-coding RNA is filed under the name Medicago truncatula (barrel medic). Its description in RNAcentral is "long non-coding RNA (MTRU_LNC000226)". Lineage: Eukaryota; Viridiplantae; Streptophyta; Magnoliopsida; Fabales; Fabaceae. The record is from RNAcentral.
GUUAAGCUACUUUCACGUAAUUCCAUAAAAUUUCGUAGAUUUUUUUAGCUAAAUGACAAAGCAAAUGAUGCAAUGAUGAAGAUUACCUAUUAAUUUUACUUAACCAUGAAGAAAUCAAAGAAAAUAAAUUGAGCCAUCAAUUUAUUUUAAGUUUGUUAAGUUUGUUACUUGUAUGACUAUGUUUAAUGUUCUCAAACGCUCUUGACAUUAUAAGUCCCACCUACAUCUGGAUGAGGAAUGUUGAAUGUAGGGAUCUAUGGAACCGUAGCUGGAAUAAGUAUUACUUUGUUUGGUGUCGCGAGUAUAAACCUUAAAUAGUCUUUGAUCUAGGAACAUAUAGGAUGUAGUCGAAGGAUCCUAAUUGUCGUCAUCAAUUUGUUAAAAACCAUUAUUUUUUUAUUAACCAAUCUUGUAAAAUCCCCCAAAUUUACUGCUUUUAUUAUAAAUUUAGUUAAUUGCCCAGUUGAAAAGAACAAUAUGGAGACGAUAACUUAAUACAUUAUUACUUGAAAAAGGUUUAGUGAACUUGCCAAAUUUAUCUUCAUAUAUAAUAACAACAGUGCUUAAAGUUUGUGUCUGAUCAUGGAUACGUAGGUAUUUUGCCUUUAUUAUCGUUCUUUAUCAAAUACUUAUAUAUGUAAAUCCUCUUAGAGUACAAAGCCUUCAAUACAAGGUUCUGGAAAUUAUAAAAAUAAAAAUUCAAUUAAUGGAUUCCAACAAAAUGAAUAAAUCAUAGUCCAUACAUAUUCUUAAAGGACUUUUGUGUACUCUCUUGGUUCUUGCACAACAUACAAAAUCACUUGGGAUUAGGUUUUUAUUUGAACUACGGUCUAACACAUUUAUAAAUACCGUUGACACACUUCACGACCAAAUAAGACGGACACAUAUUUUUUGCACAAUCAUCAUCUCUGAAACAUUUUCUACGACCAACCGUUUCAAUGAAAAAAGAGAAUAAAAAAAUGUAACUAAAAUAAGAUGAAAUUAUUUUGUAAGAAGUAAAGAAGUAAAUUAUAAAAGAUAAAAAAAAAAGGAUUACCGUCAAUAUUUUUUGCAGCAAUAAAUGAGCAAAGAAAUAUAAUUAUAACACAUAUAAACUUGAAACUUUCAGCCAUAUUCUCCAACUCUAUGUAACAGUUGGUUUUAUCACUUUAUAAUUUUCAAUGCU